Molecule: microRNA precursor, 75 nt
Filed under: Geospiza fortis (medium ground-finch)
Lineage: Eukaryota; Metazoa; Chordata; Aves; Passeriformes; Thraupidae
Also listed under: 1 other name
Description: microRNA 196b (ENSGFOG00000009484.1)
Rfam family: mir-196 microRNA precursor family
About the family: In many species the miRNA appears to be expressed from intergenic regions in HOX gene clusters. The hairpin precursors (represented here) are predicted based on base pairing and cross-species conservation -- their extents are not known.
Source: RNAcentral
GGUUUAGGUAGUUUCAUGUUGUUGGGGCUCCACCUUUCUCUCUACAGCACGAAACUGCCUUAAUUACUUCAGUUG